RNAcentral lists this ribosomal RNA (1450 nucleotides) under uncultured bacterium. RNAcentral describes it as "bacterial SSU rRNA". It matches the Rfam family "Bacterial small subunit ribosomal RNA". The record is from RNAcentral.
AGAGUUUGAUCCUGGCUCAGGAUGAACGCUGGCGGUAUGCUUAACACAUGCAAGUCGAACGGAAUCUUCGGAUUUAGUGGCGGACGGGUGAGUAACGCGUGAGAAUCUAGCUCUAGGUCGGGGACAACCACUGGAAACGGUGGCUAAUACCGGAUGUGCCGAAAGGUGAAAGAUUUAUUGCCUAGAGAUGAGCUCGCGUCUGAUUAGCUAGUUGGUGUGGUAAGAGCGCACCAAGGCGACGAUCAGUAGCUGGUCUGAGAGGAUGAUCAGCCACACUGGGACUGAGACACGGCCCAGACUCCUACAGGAGGCAGCAGUGGGGAAUUUUCCGCAAUGGGCGAAAGCCUGACGGAGCAAUACCGCGUGAGGGAGGAAGGCUCUUGGGUUGUAAACCUCUUUUCUCAGGGAAUAAGAAAGUGAAGGUACCUGAGGAAUAAGCAUCGGCUAACUCCGUGCCAGCAGCCGCGGUAAUACGGAGGAUGCAAGCGUUAUCCGGAAUGAUUGGGCGUAAAGCGUCCGCAGGUGGCACUGUAAGUCUGCUGUUAAAGAGCAAGGCUCAACCUUGUAAAGGCAGUGGAAACUACAGAGCUAGAGUACGUUCGGGGCAGAGGGAAUUCCUGGUGUAGCGGUGAAAUGCGUAGAGAUCAGGAAGAACACCGGUGGCGAAAGCGCUCUGCUAGGCCGUAACUGACACUGAGGGACGAAAGCUAGGGGAGCGAAUGGGAUUAGAUACCCCAGUAGUCCUAGCCGUAAACGAUGGAUACUAGGCGUGGCUUGUAUCGACCCGAGCCGUGCCGGAGCCANCGCGUUAAGUAUCCCGCCUGGGGAGUACGCACGCAAGUGUGAAACUCAAAGGAAUUGACGGGGGCCCGCACAAGCGGUGGAGUAUGUGGUUUAAUUCGAUGCAACGCGAAGAACCUUACCAAGACUUGACAUGUCGCGAAUCUUCUUGAAAGGGAAGAGUGCCUUAGGGAGCGCGAACACAGGUGGUGCAUGGCUGUCGUCAGCUCGUGUCGUGAGAUGUUGGGUUAAGUCCCGCAACGAGCGCAACCCUCGUUUUUAGUUGCCAGCAUUAAGUUGGGCACUCUAGAGAGACUGCCGGUGACAAACCGGAGGAAGGUGGGGAUGACGUCAAGUCAGCAUGCCCCUUACGUCUUGGGCUACACACGUACUACAAUGCUACGGACAGAGGGCAGCAAGCUAGCGAUAGCAAGCAAAUCCCGUAAACCGUAGCUCAGUUCAGAUCGCAGGCUGCAACUCGCCUGCGUGAAGGAGGAAUCGCUAGUAAUUGCAGGUCAGCAUACUGCAGUGAAUUCGUUCCCGGGCCUUGUACACACCGCCCGUCACACCAUGGAAGCUGGCAACGCCCGAAGUCAUUACUCCAACCAUUCGUGGGGGAGGAUGCCUAAGGCAGUGCUGGUGACUGGGGUGAAGUCGUAACAAGGUAACC